UAUUGGGCGUAAAGCGUCCUCAGGUGGUCAGCCAAGUCUGCCGUCAAAUCAGGUUGCUUAACGACCUAAAGGCGGUGGAAACUGGCAGACUAGAGAGCAGUAGGGGUAGCAGGAAUUCCCAGUGUAGCGGUGAAAUGCGUAGAGAUUGGGAAGAACAUCGGUGGCGAAAGCGUGCUACUGGGCUGUAUCUGACACUCAGGGACGAAAGCUAGGGGAGCGAAAGGGAUUAGAUACCCCUGUAGUCCUAGCCGUAAACGAUGGAUACUAGGCGUGGCUUGUAUCGACCCGAGCCGUGCCGAAGCUAACGCGUUAAGUAUCCCGCCUGGGGAGUACGCACGCAAGUGUGAAACUCAAAGGAAUUGACGGGGGCCCGCACAAGCGGUGGAGUAUGUGGUU
Molecule: ribosomal RNA, 396 nt
Filed under: uncultured Microcystis sp.
Lineage: Bacteria; Bacillati; Cyanobacteriota; Cyanophyceae; Chroococcales; Microcystaceae
Description: bacterial SSU rRNA
Rfam family: Bacterial small subunit ribosomal RNA
Source: RNAcentral